CCUCUAUGACCGAGUUGUGCACAGCGGAUCGCGACGUAGUGUGUGCUAUCAGCCUCUCUGGUUCCCAGUGGGUCUCAAACAGAAAGAAAAUCCCGUUCUGACUUUGUUUUCAAUAUAAUUUGUCCUCUUUUUCGCACCCACGGUUUAAGAAGUGCUGCAGACUGAACAAUUCGCUCAGAUCAAAAAACUGUUCCCUUUGAAAGAGCUUUCUUUCCACAGCACAGCACAGACAGGGAGGUUGUUUUGUUGUAUAUAUAUUUUUUUUUGGAGCAGGCAUUGUACUGAGUGAGUGUAACUUGAUAUUUUUCUGCAUGUCCCCAGAGGGUUUUUUCCAUUACACAGACUCUGCAGAAUGGCUUGGCUCCCUUCCUCUCUCUCCUCUGUCCUCCUCCCCCCCCCUCCCAAUCUCCCUCUCCUCUCUCAAUCACCCUCCCCCGGCAUGCUUUUCCAGAGGCACAUUGUGCAAAUGUAACCUUUCAACAGACCCCGCCUACUCCAGGAAGCCAGCAGGGAGGGGAGCGCAGAUUUUUCUUUCUCUCUCUCUCUACACUAAUUUUCUUUCUUUCUUUUUUUUUUUUUUUGCCAGGAAAGCAGCCGGCUGGGAGCUGGAAGGCAGCCCGUUAAUCAGAGCAGGAUGACAGAAAGGCACAGAUCUUGGGGAACAAAUUUUUUGUUCAAACUCCCUCUUGAGCUGCCUCUGCCUAAAUCCUUUUUUUUCCCCCUUCUAUGUUUUUCAUUUUCAUUCCAUCUCCUCCGCUUGAUUUUUUUUCUACCCUGUACCUUCUGCCUUUAGUGUUUUAUCCUUGGCAGCCUUCUCCACCCUUACCUUUUCUUCCUGUUUUUUUCCCAACCUUUUUCAUUUCAUCAGUCUGAUCUAACUCCUUUGAUUUUUAAUUAUUUUUUUUUAAUAUUCUGUUUUGUACGUGCUUUUUGUCUUUCGUUUCUCCGCCGUGCCUCUGUGGUGUUUGUCACCGGUAGAGUUGCGUGGAAUGAGCUGUUUUUGAACAUAAAGACUGCGUAUCAUCUUGAGAACUCUCGCUGACAAAAUUGAUGCACAUUGCUAACCUAAAUGUCAUGAUAUUUAAAUUGUAAUGAAAGAUGAUUGGUAAAUCUCACGUUGUCACAGGAAUUCAGUUAUUAACACCACCAAUGAAAUGGCGGCUUUGGUUUAUGUCUCCUUUCGGCUUAUAUUAUUUUAAUUUCGAAAAUUAACAAUCUUCAGAACAGUGUUUGUCAACAUCAUUAAGACCUAAUGCCUCCAUAGAAUAUCCGGCUCAUAUAGAAUAAGAAGUUCUCUAAGGCCCAUCAGUUGUUAAAGGAACACUGUCAUCAACAUUUUUUAAUAUGUUAAUAUAAACUUUAUAUUAUCUACUCUUUUACCUAAUUGAUUUUUUCAUCGGUUAUAUAUAUUGUGAAGAAAUCACAUGCCUAUUUUUCGCACGCUUUCUGUAGAACAGCCAUCAUUAUGC
Molecule: non-coding RNA, 1469 nt
Organism: Pelobates cultripes (western spadefoot toad)
Lineage: Eukaryota; Metazoa; Chordata; Amphibia; Anura; Pelobatidae
Source: the annotation of a GenBank genome assembly